This 520-nucleotide long non-coding RNA is filed under the name Marmota monax (woodchuck). Lineage: Eukaryota; Metazoa; Chordata; Mammalia; Rodentia; Sciuridae. The record is from RNAcentral.
CACGUGUACACCUGUAUGUGCACAAGUGUGUGUCUGUGUUUGCACACACUUACUCAUACACACACGUGUUUGUACAUACGUGUGUGUGUGCAUACCUGUGUGCUUGUGUGUACAUGCCUGAGUCUGCCUGUGUGUGGAGGGAGCCGGGGUCUGGGGAGCAGCUGCGGAGCAUGGCCAUCUGUAUGUUCCCAUGGCCAUCAGCCUCCUGGACCUGUGGGGAAGGGGAGGCUGACGAGGAGAAACUGUGUGACACCUGACCAAUGGUGGGUGGGGGCCCUCCAGCAGCUGAGGAGCAGACAGGUGGCAUGCUGGAGCCCACUGAGGACCACCCAUUGCCUCGGUGUCCUCAAGAUAAGCCUGUCAAUUGGGUCUCCAGUGUAUUUGGUCUUUGGAUUGGUUGGCGAGGUGGAGUCAUGGAAUCACCUGGGGUGCUUGUGUUUGGAGGCCAGGGGGCCUCGCUUCAGGGUGUGCACACUCACGUCUACACCUGACAGAGACGCAUGGAAGGACCGUGUCUGAU